UAUAGAUUCAAAAAAUAACCGGCACUCACGGUUUUCUCAAGUAAUAUCACUUUAAUACUCGGAAUUAAAGUGAUAUUACUUGAGAAAACCGUGAGUGCCGGUUAUUUUUUGAAUCUAUACAC
Pelobates cultripes (western spadefoot toad) is the source of this 122-nucleotide non-coding RNA. The record is from the annotation of a GenBank genome assembly. Lineage: Eukaryota; Metazoa; Chordata; Amphibia; Anura; Pelobatidae.